RNAcentral lists this unclassified non-coding RNA (166 nucleotides) under uncultured Ascomycota. RNAcentral's name for it is "sequence contains ITS2". Lineage: Eukaryota; Fungi; Ascomycota. The record is from RNAcentral.
CAGAACCCUCAAGCUCAGCUUGGUGUUGGGUCUUCGCCCCCUCCUCCAGUGCGGGCGGACCUGAAAAUCAGUGGCGGUGUCACCUGGCCUCAAGCGUAGUAGGCACUCACGCUCUGAAGGCGCAGGUUUUUGACCACCAGCCAAGCAACCCCCUUAUCUUCAAUGA